CUUAUCUGCCGGCUCCGACUGCGGUCCAGCCGGUGUUGGAGCUGGCGGCGAAGCCGCCCCCUUAUCCGCCACUGGCGCAUCCGCUUCCGGGGAAGGUGCCGGCGCCGGUGCUGGCGCAUGCGCCGGCUUAAACAGCUCCCUCGGCUCCAGCACCGUAUCAAUGACGUACACCGCCAGUGGAUCUGCAUCUACAAUAGUCCCCGAAAUAUCCGCCUUGCUCACCCCAGUGUUCAGCGUCACCGCCUCCCCCUCAUUCUGCACCGUGAAGUUGUAAUUCUUGCUUGUACCAUCAGUCGCCAGAGUGUUGACUACGCCAUUGCCGGACUUGAGCAUUGGAAUCGAGUUGUAUACGGGGAUGGCCUGGUAGAGAAGGAGGGAGACUUUGGCGUCGGUGGUGAGAUUCUUGAACUUGGGUGCGAAGGCCUUGACGGCGG
RNAcentral lists this unclassified non-coding RNA (434 nucleotides) under Hevea brasiliensis (rubber tree). Lineage: Eukaryota; Viridiplantae; Streptophyta; Magnoliopsida; Malpighiales; Euphorbiaceae. The record is from RNAcentral.